Molecule: small nuclear RNA, 175 nt
Organism: Panthera leo (lion)
Lineage: Eukaryota; Metazoa; Chordata; Mammalia; Carnivora; Felidae
Gene: U2
Rfam family: U2 spliceosomal RNA
About the family: U2 is a small nuclear RNA (snRNA) component of the spliceosome (involved in pre-mRNA splicing).
Source: Ensembl
GUUGCCUCUUGGCCUUUUGGCUAAGAUCGAAUGUAGCCUCUGUUCUUUCCUGUUUAAAUCUGAUUUUUUUCCCAUCGCUUUAUGGGGUGUGGCAAUGCAUGCAUUAAAGGAAAGAGAAACAUUUAAGAAAAAAACUUAAAAUUGCAUUUUGAGUUUUUAAAAAUAUGUAACAUCU